RNAcentral lists this ribosomal RNA (253 nucleotides) under uncultured bacterium. RNAcentral's name for it is "partial 16S ribosomal RNA". It matches the Rfam family "Bacterial small subunit ribosomal RNA", at positions 524 to 776 of the family's 1533-position model. The record is from RNAcentral.
UACAGAGGAGCCAAGCGUUGUCCGGAUUGACUGGGCGUAAAGCGCACGCAGGCGGUCGCGCGCGUGGGGUGUGAAAUCUGGCCGCUUAACGGCCAGGCGCCAUCCCAUACGGCGCGACUGGAGUGAUGCAGAGGUCGGUGGAAUUGCCGGUGUAGUGGUGAAAUGCGUAGAGAUCGGCAGGAACACCCAGGGGGAAACCAGCCGACUGGGCAUUGACUGACGCUGAGAAGCGAAAGCGUGGGGAGCGAACAGG